AGAGAGAGACAUGCGCGCAUAUCAAUAAGCGGAGGAAAAGAAACUAACUAGGAUUCCCCUAGUAACGGCGAGUGAAGCGGGAAGAGCUCAAAUUUGGAAAUCUUCAAGGUUCUACCUUGACGAAUUGUAGUUUAAAGAAGUGUUUUCUGUUGGAGUUUUGGUAAAAGUUCUUUGGAAUAGGACAUCAUAGAGGGUGAGAAUCCCGUAUUUGACCAUUAUUUCCAGCUUUGUGAUACACUUUCAAAGAGUCGGAUUGUUUGGGAAUGCAGUCCAAAAUGGGUGGUAAAUUUCAUUCUAAAGCUAAAUACUGGCGAGAGACCGAUAGCGAACAAGUUACCGUGAGGGAAAGAUGAAAAGAACUUUGAAAAGAGAGUUAAACAGUACGUGAAAUUGUCAAAAGGGAAGCGUUUGACACCAGUGUUGUUUUCUCGAAAAUCAAUUAAAAAAGGCAGGAUUUUGUGUUGUAUUGACUUUAUCAGCUUUCUGCACUCUUUUCUUGUCUUUUUUAAUGCACUUUUCGUUUAACAAGUCAACAUCAAUUUCUUUUGUUGUAAAAGGGUCAUUGGAAGGUGGCUUUCUUUUCGGAGAAAGUGUUUAUAGCCUUUGGCCUCUGCAAUCGGAGAGAUUGAGGUCUGCAGCGUAGAUCCUUCGGGGUUAGAUACAUUUGUGCUAAGUUAUAGCCUUUCAUAGACAACUUGUUGACUAUGAUCAGUCAUGUAGCUUACUCGCUUAUGCUAUUUUACCUACGCUUAGGAUGUUGAUGUGAUACUGCGAGC
RNAcentral lists this ribosomal RNA (776 nucleotides) under uncultured Neocallimastigales. RNAcentral describes it as "partial large subunit ribosomal RNA". It matches the Rfam family "Eukaryotic large subunit ribosomal RNA", at positions 23 to 645 of the family's 3401-position model. Lineage: Eukaryota; Fungi; Neocallimastigomycota; Neocallimastigomycetes; Neocallimastigales. The record is from RNAcentral.